CAGUCGCCGCGGUAAUACGAAGGGGGCUAGCGUUGUUCGGAAUUACUGGGCGUAAAGCGCACGUAGGCGGCCAUCCAAGUUAGAUGUGAAAGCCCUGGGCUCAACCUAGGAAUUGCAUUUGAUACUGUUUGGCUUGAGUUCGGGAGAGGUGAGUGGAAUUCCCAGUGUAGAGGUGAAAUUCGUAGAUAUUGGGAAGAACACCAGUGGCGAAGGCGACAUACUGGUCCAUUACUGACGCUGAGGCUCGAAAGCGUGGGGAGCAAACAGGAUUAGAGACCCCCGUAGUCCCUGUCUCUUAUAC
Molecule: ribosomal RNA, 301 nt
Filed under: uncultured bacterium
Lineage: Bacteria
Description: partial 16S ribosomal RNA
Rfam family: Bacterial small subunit ribosomal RNA
Source: RNAcentral